RNAcentral lists this non-coding RNA (30 nucleotides) under Mus musculus (house mouse). Lineage: Eukaryota; Metazoa; Chordata; Mammalia; Rodentia; Muridae. The record is from RNAcentral.
UGGCUACAAAGUGUACUGAAGCUGCACGAC